Molecule: long non-coding RNA, 2620 nt
Filed under: Oryzias javanicus (javanese ricefish)
Lineage: Eukaryota; Metazoa; Chordata; Actinopteri; Beloniformes; Adrianichthyidae
Description: lncRNA (ENSOJAG00000012299.1)
Source: RNAcentral
GUUUAAUCUUCUCAAAAAAGCUGAAGCAGGGGGGAGGGAGACGUUUCUCACAGCUGCACGAGGAGGCUGUUGCUAGGUAGAUUUCUGAGAAGGCGGGAACGGCUUGACCAAUGACAGACUCGCUUGCCUCAUGUGUUCGUUCUCUCGUCUGAUUGGUUGACGGUACGCCGUUCCUUCGACGAUAGUUCGAGUUCCCCUCCUAAACGAAAACGAAAAAGAAAUGUUUUUAACCCGACUCUGUAUGAACUUUCUUUGGUUUUAGUCUUCAGUCUUUUAGGCUGCAUUCAGGAAUCUGCAUUUCCAUAAAUUAUUUACUGCCGCUGAAAAUACCGCUCGGCCUGUGGAUCUCUGUGGGAUGAGGUCGUUGGUCAUGUUCCACCUGGACCUUCAGCAGACACGUGUGAGGAGACCAUGAAGUGGAUUCUCCUGAUAAUAAUUCUCAGCUGUGCUGUUUUAAUCCCUGAAACCUCCCUAACCACCUACAAGGCCCAUGAAAACGACGACAUCUCCAUCAGGUGGGACACCCUGUCCCGGUCCGACCUGACCAGCUCCAGCAUGGUCUGUUUCUUCCUUUCAAACUCCAAUGUUCUGUACAAGAGGAUAAACGGCAUGGAGUCUCCAGAUUUUCAGCAUCGGCAGUUCGCAGAGCGAGUUCGGUGUGACGGAGACGCUCUGAGAGAAGGACGAGUUGUUCUUCAUCUCUCUAAAGUCAGAGUGGAGGACUCUGGGAGAUUCCGAUGUGUCUUGCAUGCUCAUUACAACACGAUCCAGGAAAAAUGGGAGACCUACGCGCAUGAAAUCUUUCUUCUGAAUGUGACCACAGCCUCUAAAGAGGAGAACCGAGUGCUCAGCAGUGGGCCAGCGUCAGCCGCAGGCGCUGAAGAUCCACCAGUAAGACGUAGAUCAAGAAGACGAGCGAAUGAUCCAACCGGAGCUGGAAUUCCACUGGCGGUGGUCGCUCUGGCACUUCUGAUAGUGUAUGGAGUCUAUCUAGUACUCAGAGCUUGGUUGUAAAGCAUCCAUCAUCAAAAACAUGAAGUUCCUGACAUCUCCUUUACCUCCACCGACUGUUGGCUUCUGGGAAAAUCAUCCGUCCAUCUGUUGGUUCUUAGUUUGAAAUUUAGAGACAUAAGCCAAAAGUAGACUUAAAAAGCUAGAAUAUUUGUCAUAAUCUAAAAGAACCCCUUUCUUGUGUUUUAGAGCUAAACUUUAAAUGGUCAUAUAUCAUAAUGUAAUAUACUUUCAUUUUUAAGUGAACGCUUUUGAACUACAGCAGGUUAGAACUUGCAGCUCCAGGCACAAAGAGCUAAUAUUUUAAUCCAUAUUGGAGUGUACUCUACUACAUCCUUUCUUCAAUUUGAAGAGUUUUUAAACGAUAUUUUUACAAACUAAAACUAUUUUUAAAAAGUUUUUUUUUUUAAAUAAACCAUGUUUACAUUAGUCUGCAGGUGACAUCCAGCAUAAUGAAGGGAGAUGUGGGUUGUCUGCAGGUGAAAACAUGUGAAACAAGUCUGGGUUGCUUGCACAUAAUGUCAAUGUCGUCGUCUGCUUGGUCAACAGACUUCAUGCACAUUUUCUAUUAGGGUCAUGCUGCGAGUGGAAGGUAUUGGUGAACACUUAUACAACACGUAAGGAUAAAUAAGGCUGAAGAAGGUUUUUGCAACAAGAUCAACACGCCAUUAAACUGGAAGUCGAUUGUUGACGGAAGGGAUGCAAAUAUUCUGAUUGAAUAAAAAACGUUCUACUUUAUGUGUCAGCACGGCGCACCAGAGUUGCACCUGAGACGGACAUCCUUACAAAUAUUUGACGAUACACGUACGACAAUGGUACGUUCCAUUUUCAUGAGGUGGUCAUACGAGCCUCAAGCGAACUGACACUCUUAUGAUGCGACCGCUCCUCUCUACGACCCUCUACGGACCCAGACAACCCAAAAAUCUGCAGCGCCCAUAUAGGAGCGAACAAACUGCUUCACAGGAAGCCUAUUCACUAAAAACAGCAAAUCUGAGAUAUUAAAAGCAUUAAAAGUAAUCUUUUAUAAUUAGUUUUUUAUAUAAUUGGAAUUAAUCAAGCAAACAAAACAAAUUAAAAUAUAAGAAACUCUAAAUAGAUUAUACUUAGGAAUAAUUUCUUUAAAGGGAGUUGUUUUUUUUUUUUGUUUUUGGUUUUUUUUUUAAUAAUCUGGUUCUGUUUAAAAUUAUUUAUUCUUUACCAGUACAAGUAAAAAUCAUAUAUCAAGUAUUAUUAAAUUUCAAAGUCAAAAAUUGUUGAUUAACAUACUACAAUGUAUUACUCUAUAAAUAAUCAAAAAAGAUCAAGUGUUUCUUCGUAGUAACUGAUUUGAAAUUCAUAAUCAUUAUUGUUAUUUCUAUGAUGUAUACUUUUUUUUCCGUCAAAAUCCGUGUCAUCCUGAUUUAACCAAGUUAUAAGAAAUAAUAUAUCCCUGCUGUGGCACAAGAAGAAGAAUGUUGCAAGAAAGUUGUUCUUUAAAGUUGUGUGUAAGAAUUCAUACAUGUCAUUAUUGCUCCUCCAUAUUUCAGUGAAACAAGCAGUUUUAUGAAAACUCUUUUUCUAAAUUAAAUUGAGGUUUGCAAUCUAAAUAAUGUUGGAAAAAUAAAUGAAU